RNAcentral lists this ribosomal RNA (606 nucleotides) under uncultured bacterium. RNAcentral's name for it is "bacterial SSU rRNA". The stretch from base 1 to 518 matches the Rfam family "Bacterial small subunit ribosomal RNA", at positions 338 to 873 of the family's 1533-position model. The record is from RNAcentral.
CCUACGGGAGGCAGCAGUGGGGAAUAUUGGACAAUGGGCGCAAGCCUGAUCCAGCAAUGCCGCGUGAGUGAUGAAGGCCUUAGGGUCGUAAAGCUCUUUUACCAGGGAUGAUAAUGACAGUACCUGGAGAAUAAGCUCCGGCUAACUCCGUGCCAGCAGCCGCGGUAAUACGGAGGGAGCUAGCGUUGUUCGGAAUUACUGGGCGUAAAGCGUACGUAGGCGGUUAUUCAAGUCAGAGGUGAAAGCCCGGGGCUCAACCCCGGAACGGCCUUUGAAACUAGGUAGCUAGAAUCUUGGAGAGGUCAGUGGAAUUCCGAGUGUAGAGGUGAAAUUCGUAGAUAUUCGGAAGAACACCAGUGGCGAAGGCGACUGACUGGACAAGUAUUGACGCUGAGGUACGAAAGCGUGGGGAGCAAACAGGAUUAGAUACCCUGGUAGUCCACGCCGUAAACGAUGAUAACUAGCUGUUCGGGCACUUGGUGCUUGAGUGGCGCAGCUAACGCAUUAAGUUAUCCGCCCGGUAGGGUACGGUCGGCGAGAGUAAACUUAAACAACGAAAGUAGUAGGAACGUGUGAGAGUCGACGACGACGACGACGGAGGAGGAG